This 395-nucleotide long non-coding RNA is filed under the name Mytilus galloprovincialis (Mediterranean mussel). Lineage: Eukaryota; Metazoa; Mollusca; Bivalvia; Mytilida; Mytilidae. The record is from RNAcentral.
CCCCCCUUGUUUUGCAAUUAGUUUAAAAUCUGACAUUUCUUUAUACAUAAUUUACAAGAAGUGUAAGGGAGGUUAACCCGAACAUACCCAACAUUGUAUGUUGAUUGCAUUUGAAUUACCUCCCUUACACUGCUUUUAAAUUGUCUUAAUUGUCCAUUGACCAGAAAAACCUAGUUUUUUCCUUUUUUUGCCCCUAAUUCCAAAACAUUUUGAGCUAUAACCCCCCAAAGUCGAUACUAACCAUCGCUUCAUGGUAUGGAAACUUGUGGUAUUAUUUCAGAGAGAUUAAUACACUUAAACACAAGUUAUUGUUUAAAAACUACAAAAAUGCUUAUUUUGGGCCCCCUUUUUGGCCCCUUAAUUUCUCAACUAUUGGGACCAUAACCCCCAAAAUU